Molecule: long non-coding RNA, 584 nt
Organism: Suricata suricatta (meerkat)
Lineage: Eukaryota; Metazoa; Chordata; Mammalia; Carnivora; Herpestidae
Exons: 3
Source: RefSeq, a predicted model, not a curated record
CUACACAGCAUCUAGACAGACUCCUCCCUCAACGUGAACUUGGCUUCUUUGUCUAUUUUCUGGCUGGCUAUUGCUGAAAAGCAGCAGGAAUCAUGUUAAGUGGUACAUUAUAAGGGUGUCUUUCUUGAACUAAAGAAAACAGAAUGGAAUGAGUUGAUAUGAGUCAAAAAAUACUCAGCAGCAAGUACACAAGAGACAUGAUGAGCCAAUUCCCUGUGUCCUUUUGGAAGUAAAAAUAGACAAAAAGAAAUAAAUAAGGGAAGAAAGAAACAAAACAAAGGACGAAAGAAAUAGAUGACUCAUAUCCUUAGAGAUUUAAUUUAAAAGAGACUCCAUGUAUUAAAGCAUGGAAACUGAAUUGUAAAAGGGGAAGAUUCCUGAAGAAGCCUGCAGGAUAAAAUGGCGGUCGGCAUAUGGUGGAGUGGCGGUGAUGGAAAGUAGUGUACUGAGGAAUAAAGGUUAUGUGUUACCGAACUUUGUGGUCAAUGGGAGGUGGGCAGUUAGGAAGAGGGAUCAAGAAAACAUGUCUCCAGGCUUCCUUCCGGUACAAAUGAGUGGGCAGCAGUGUCUCUCACACACAAUAC